AUUGAACGCUGGCGGCAUGCUUUACACAUGCAAGUCGAACGGUAACAGGCCUUCGGGUGCUGACGAGUGGCGAACGGGUGAGUAAUGCAUCGGAACGUGCCCAGAGGUGGGGGAUAAGGAAGCGAAAGCUGUGCUAAUACCGCAUGGGAUCUGAGGAUGAAAGCGGGGGACCAGGCAGGAAUGUUUAGCCUCGCGCCUUUGGAGUGGCCGAUGUCAGAUUAGUUAGUGGGUGGGGUAAAGGCCUACCAAGCCGACGAUCUGUAGCUGGUCUGAGAGGACGGCCGGCCACACUGGGGCUGAGGCACGGCCCAGACUCCUACGGGAGGCAGCAGUGGGGAAUUUUGGGCAAUGGGCGCAAACCUGGUCCAGCAAUGCCGCGUGCGGGAAGAAGGCCUUCGGGUUGUAAACCGCUUUUGUACGGAACGAAAAGGCUCUGGCUAAUACCUGGGGCUGAUGACGGUACCGUAAGAAUAAGCACCGGCUAACUACGUG
RNAcentral lists this ribosomal RNA (492 nucleotides) under uncultured bacterium. RNAcentral's name for it is "partial 16S ribosomal RNA". It matches the Rfam family "Bacterial small subunit ribosomal RNA", at positions 29 to 507 of the family's 1533-position model. The record is from RNAcentral.